UCUUAGUAACAUUACUGUGCUGGAAAUGCUUACGCUCUGCUUCUUGUUAUUCUAUUUUAUGGUGAUUAUUUCUGAGUUCCAGCCCUUUCACUUUACAUCAUGGAACCAUGAACAUCGAGUGAGGCAUACAGAACAGGUGCUGAAUAGCUCUACAGCAGAGGGAACUGAAUAG
Molecule: long non-coding RNA, 172 nt
Filed under: Anas platyrhynchos platyrhynchos (common mallard)
Lineage: Eukaryota; Metazoa; Chordata; Aves; Anseriformes; Anatidae
Description: lncRNA (ENSAPLG00000029404.1)
Source: RNAcentral